AGGCGGAUAAAUUCAAUCUACCGGAUAGCUUUUGCUGGUGACCACGGAUGUACUGGCACCGUGCGGAUGCAAUCAAAGAAGGGUCGGCGCGAGCAUUCGCCCCGACCUUUUUCUUU
Molecule: small RNA, 116 nt
Filed under: Rhizobium esperanzae
Lineage: Bacteria; Pseudomonadati; Pseudomonadota; Alphaproteobacteria; Hyphomicrobiales; Rhizobiaceae
Description: sRNA ar35
Rfam family: Alphaproteobacterial sRNA ar35 (bases 16-116)
Source: RNAcentral